GUUGUUGUGGUCAAGUGGUUAAGGCGAUAGACUAGAAAUAUUGUGUGAUCUUCCGGCGCAGGUUCGACCUCUGCCGACAAUG
Molecule: transfer RNA, 82 nt
Filed under: Dreissena polymorpha
Lineage: Eukaryota; Metazoa; Mollusca; Bivalvia; Myida; Dreissenidae
Rfam family: tRNA
About the family: Transfer RNA (tRNA) molecules are approximately 80 nucleotides in length. Their secondary structure includes four short double-helical elements and three loops (D, anti-codon, and T loops).
Source: Rfam by way of RNAcentral